Long non-coding RNA from Eucalyptus grandis, 215 nucleotides. RefSeq lists it as uncharacterized. Lineage: Eukaryota; Viridiplantae; Streptophyta; Magnoliopsida; Myrtales; Myrtaceae. The record is from RefSeq and is a predicted model, not a curated record. The transcript has 2 exons.
UUUGUCCUCCCUUUUUGGCAUGUUUGGUACAUUGAAAACAGAUAUGUUUUCUUUUCCAAGUUCAAAGUGAUCAUUUCGAGAAGUUUUUCGCCCUUGAAUUAGACAAACAUGGUUAUGAAGCUUUAUACAAGAAAAAAACGAUCGAGGUUUAUGGUGGGAAUAUCAAUACAAUAGAUGGUUGUGCUACAUUUUUUCACAAAGACAGGUUUUCUAAU